UACGGAGGGUGCAAGCGUUAUCCGGAUUCACUGGGUUUAAAGGGUGCGUAGGCGGCCAUCGCAAGUCGACUGUGAAAUCUCCGGGCUUAACCCGGGAAGGUCAGCCGAUACUGCGGGGCUAGAGUGCAGAAGGGGCAACUGGAAUUCUCGGUGUAGCGGUGAAAUGCGUAGAUAUCGAGAGGAACACCUGCGGCGAAGGCGGGUUGCUGGGCUGACACUGACGCUGAUGCGCGAAAGCUAGGGGAGCGAACGGG
This 254-nucleotide ribosomal RNA is filed under the name uncultured bacterium. Its description in RNAcentral is "partial 16S ribosomal RNA". It matches the Rfam family "Bacterial small subunit ribosomal RNA", at positions 524 to 776 of the family's 1533-position model. The record is from RNAcentral.